RNAcentral lists this ribosomal RNA (2331 nucleotides) under Ischyromene cordiforaminalis. RNAcentral's name for it is "bacterial SSU rRNA". It matches the Rfam family "Eukaryotic small subunit ribosomal RNA". Lineage: Eukaryota; Metazoa; Arthropoda; Malacostraca; Isopoda; Sphaeromatidae. The record is from RNAcentral.
UUACCUGGNUUGAUCCUGCCAGUAGUCAUAUGCUUGUUUCAAAGAUUAAGCCAUGCAUGUCUAAGUACAAGCCUUCCUUAGAGCAAAACCGCAAACGGCUCAUUAAAUCAGUUAUAAUUUAUUGGAUGGUGGUUAUCCGGUACUCGGAUAACCGUGGCAAUUCUAGAGCUAAUACGUGCAACUGAGCUCCGACCCUGGAACGCUUAACGGCGAAUUCGGGGGAAGAGCGCAAUUAUUAGAAUCAUAAACCGAGCGGGCUUUCGAGCUUGAUUAGGUUAUGGUGACUCUAAAUAAUUUUGCUAAGCGAUAAGGCCUUCGAGCCUUCGCUGCAUCUUUCGAGUGACUGCCUUAUCAGUUAGAUUGUAAGCUAAACGCUUACGAUGGCUGUAACGGGUAACGGGGAAUCAGGGUUCGAUUCCGGAGAGGGAGCCUGAGAAACGGCUACCACAUCUAAGGAAGGCAGCAGGCACGCAAAUUACCCACUCCCGGCUCGGGGAGGUAGUGACGAUAAAUAACGAUGCGGGACUCUUCCGAGGCCUCGCAAUCGGAAUGAAUUUACUCUAAAAAAUUGGAUGAGGAUCCAUUGGAGGGCAAGUCUGGUGCCAGCAGCCGCGGUAAUUCCAGCUCCAAUAGCGUAUAUUAAAGUUGCUGCGGUUAAAAAGCUCGUAGUUGGAGUUUCGGUCUGUACCGGCGACCCACCUAAGGCGCGCCCCCGAUGACUUCCUUCUAGUAGAAGAUUGACGAUCGGCGUACUUUUCGCUCGUCCGAUAGACGUGGUAGGACUUUGUCUCCAUAUCCGCGCGACAUCGACGACGGAACCUUACGUCCGAACCCGUUUAUCCUUGAACGAGGGUUGUCUAGUGGGUCUCCGCGGCUGGUGGUAAAACGUCCGGCUACGGAUUUGAUAAAUCCGUCGGCUCUCACGGGGUGCUCUUUACCGAGUGUCUCGCGUGGCCGAUGACGAUCACUUUGAAAAAAUAAGAGUGCUCAAAGCAGGCAAAAAUCUUCGCCUGAAUUAUGAUGCAUUGAAUGAUGGAAAAGGACCUCGGUUCUGCAUAUUUUCUCUCGGUUUAAUUGAACCCGAGGUAAUGACUAACGGGAACGGACGGGGGCAUUAGUAUUGCGACGCUAGAGGUGAAAUUCUUGGACCGUCGCACGACUAACUACUGCGAAAGCAUUUGCCAAGAACGCUUUCAUUAAUCAAGAACGAAAGUUAGAGGAUCGAAGGCGAUCAGAUACCGCCCUAGUUCUAACCUUAAACGAUGCUGACUAGCGAUCCGUUUCAAGUCAUUCCCACGACUUAACGGGCAGCCCCCGGGAAACCUAAGUUUUUAAGUUCCGGGGGAAGUAUGGUUGCAAAGCUGAAACUUAAAGGAAUUGACGGAAGGGCACCACCAGGAGUGGAGCCUGCGGCUUAAUUUGACUCAACACGGGGAACCUCACCAGGCCCAGACACUGGAAGGAUUGACAGAUUGAGAGCUCUUUCUCGAUUCGGUGCAUGGUGGUGCAUGGCCGUUCUUAGUUGGUGGAGCGGUUUGUCUGGUUGAUUCCGAUAACGAACGAGACUCUAUCCUAUUAACUAGUCGGUGGAUCGUUUCCCGAGAAGGGUCCGUUACGGCUGUGUUUCAGGUGCGGGGCUCGGUGGCGUUUCGCCCAUGCCCAGUUCCCUUCCGAGGGUUCUAUCGCGCGCGUUCCUUAGUCGUUCGCGUAGGUGUUCGCGUCGAUGAUGUGCUCGCUCCUUACGGGGUUGAGGCUCUCGGCGCGGCAUCUGCGUUAGGGCGGCGAAAGGUUUCGCGUGUGUCGGAGGUGAGCGUCGCUCCUCGCAUUUUGUAUUCACAACCGCGGAGGACCUAACGAGGGGCGUCCAUCGCAAAGUCUUCUUAGAGGUAUAAACGGUCUCGAACCGUACGAGAGAGAGCAAUAACAGGUCUGUGAUGCCCUUAGAUGUUCUGGGCCGCACGCGCGCUACAAUGCAGGGAGCAGCGUGCUUUCCCCCUCCGAAAGGAGUGGGUAACCAGAUGAAACCCCUUCCCGAUUGGGAUUGGGGCUUGCAAAUGUUUCCCAUGAACGAGGAAUUCCCCGUAAGCGUAAGUCAUUAGCUUGCGAUGAUUACGUCCCUGCCCUUUGUACACACCGCCCGUCGCUACUACCGAUUGAAUGAUUCAGUGAGGGCGUCGGACCAGCGCCCUCGGCAGCUCUGGAGACACCGACCCCCAUAGUGGGAGUCUGGUGGUACUUAUCCAAAGGGCGCCCCGGGCUCGCCGGAAAGACGUCCGAACUUGAUCAUUUAGAGGAAGUAAAAGUCGUAACANGUUGCCGUAGGUGAACUGC